GGAACCUGGAUAGAAAAAAGUAGAGAGCGAGAACGCCCGUGUUUAGUCGUGUCGACGUGAUUUGCUUUUGUCUAUUUACAUUACUGGGAUUAAGAGGCCAGUUUCACUAGGCGAUCAAUUAAAUAAAGGGGGGAAUAAUAAGAUUACAUGGUGUAUACAAAUCAUGGGUAGGAGAAUAAUAUAGUACAUAUUUAAAUUUGUUCUUUUUUUUUACAUCCAAAAGUUUCACAUAUGUACGUAUUUCUUCUUUUCGUUUUUUUUUCUUUUUUAGGUUAGGUUGAACUUUUGUGAAACUUUUCUGUCCCUCGAUCGUGCGUGAUCGAUAAUCAUCAUUCAGCGGCAGGUUUUUGGGAAGGAUAGAUACACGAAGAACAGUCGUCCUUUCUUUCUUUGCUCUGCUACUGGUGCCGCUUUUUUUAUUGGUGGCAAAUGAGACAAGUUCGUUCUACUGAGGCUAGAAAAAGGGAGACAGCUCCAGCGGUGUUCACGAGCAACCUACUUUGAUGUGCCUACGGGAUUCGAAAGAAAAUAUUCUCGGUGGUGAUAAGAUGCCGAUAACACAUACGGGAAAACCUGGCAGCGUCGAUGAACCGAUUGUGGCCUCGUACCUAUCAAAAAAAAAAAAAGAAAAAAAAAAGAAAAAGGUAA
Molecule: long non-coding RNA, 648 nt
Organism: Bombus impatiens (common eastern bumble bee)
Lineage: Eukaryota; Metazoa; Arthropoda; Insecta; Hymenoptera; Apidae
Exons: 2
Source: RefSeq, a predicted model, not a curated record